RNA transcript from Quercus robur (English oak), 8723 nucleotides. It is a transcript of the gene named tRNA wybutosine-synthesizing protein 2/3/4, with no coding region annotated. The transcript is spliced from 6 exons. Lineage: Eukaryota; Viridiplantae; Streptophyta; Magnoliopsida; Fagales; Fagaceae. The record is from RefSeq and is a predicted model, not a curated record.
CAUUUGGUUGAAGAGGGUUUAGACUUUAGACUUAGAGUUUCGAGGGUUUUUGCUUUGCAGUUUGCUGUUGCACAGCGCGAAAAUGGAGUUCGAGAAGAGAAAAGCGGCGACGCUAGCUUCACUAGCAUCCUCAGACACCGACAAAUCACCGAAGGGCACGUUGGACACUCCCAUCCUCCCUCUCAUCAACACCCUCAACAACCAUCCCUGCUACUUCACCACCAGCUCCUGCUCCGGCCGUAUCUCUAUCCUCUCCCAACCCAUACACCAAACCCAACCCAACAAAAAAUCCAAAGGCGGCUCCUGGCUCUUCGUCUCCCACGACCCGGCCGAUCCCGACUCGGUCAUCUCCCUCCUCUUCCCCGACUCACCAACUCGCUCCCAAUCCCAACCCGAACCCGAGUCCGAACUCGUCCUCCGCUUCGAACCGCUCAUCGUCGCCGUGGAGUGCAAAGACCUCGCCUCGGCUCAGUCGCUGGUCUCCACGGCGAGGUCGGCCGGGUUCAGAGAAUCCGGCAUAACCAACGCGAACAACAAGCGCGUGAUCGUCGCGAUCCGCUGCUCGAUUCGGCUGGAGGUUCCGUUGGGGACCACCGAGUCCGUCAUGGUCUCGCCGGAGUUCGUUAGGUACCUCGUCCGCGUGGCCAACGAGAAAAUGGAAGCGAACAGAAUCAGAACCCAAGGCUUUCUCCGCGCACUGCAAAAUGCCGACGUGGCAGAACCGGAACCGGAGCCGGAAUCGGAAUCAGAAGCUCGCGGCGACGAUGAUGAUGAACAUUCCGGGGCAGAUUUGAGUGUGCUGCGUGUGGUUCCGAUAGUGGUUUCCGGUGAGGAGGCGGUGGAGAAGCUUUAUCUAUGGGGACACUCGGCGUGUAGUUUAGCUUCGGAGAAGAAAGUAUUGGUUUUUGGUGGAUUUGGAGGAAUGGGAAGGCAUGCGAGGAGGAAUGAGGCUUUGGUGCUUGAUCCAAAUUCUGGCACAUUGGAAGUGAUUGGUGGUGUAGAGGGGAGUGGGAGUCCGAGCCCGCGAUUAGGUCAUAGUUGUUGUUUGGUUGGAGAUUGCGCGUUUGUUAUCGGAGGCAGGGGGGAUCCUGUGAAUGUUCUUGGUGAUGUGUGGGUGCUCAAUAGAGCAAAGAGUGAAUGGAGAUUAGCAGAAUGUAGUGGCAGUGUUUUCCCUCCAAGGCAUAGGCAUGCAGCAGCUGCUGUAGGCUCAAAGAUAUAUGUAUUUGGUGGACUUGACAAUGACUCAAUCUCUUCAUCCUUUCAUAUCCUUGACACAGUUAACCUGCAAUGGGAAGAGUUAGAGGUUGGUGGGGAACAGCCAUGUGCCCGUCAUUCUCACUCUAUGGUGGCAUAUGGGUGUAAGCUAUUUAUGUUUGGAGGGUACGAUGGUGACAAAGCACUUGGAGACUUGUAUAGUUUUGAUGUUCAGGCAUGUCAAUGGAAGAAAGAAAAGACAGCGGGAAGAGGUCCACAUGCUAGGUUUUCCCACUCAAUGUUUGUGUACAAAGAUUAUCUUGGGGUUAUUGGCGGUUGUCCUGUCCGGCAACAUUGUCAAGAGUUAGCACUACUUGAUUUGCGGCUCCAAGUGUGGAAGCAUGUGACACUUGAUUCUGUUGGCAAAGAUUUGUUUGUACGAAGUACAGCUAAUGUCAUUGGCGAUGAUCUUGUUUUGAUUGGUGGUGGGGCAUCUUGUUAUGCAUUUGGAACAAAGUUUAGUGAGCCAAUGAAAAUCAACUUGUUACCUUUAAUGACUUCAAAUGAAAAUUUUAUGCCUUCUAAAAAUGGAGAUGUGCAUGGUACCCGCAGAAAUGAUGGGGUGACGGGGAAUAAGAACGAUAGCUUUCAACAUCCACGAAUUGAAAAUUUGCAAACUUUAAAAGAAAAUCUUGACUUAAAUUUCGAUAGUGAAUUACCUGGAAUGAAUGAAAGUCAGAUGAUUGCUUCGCAUUGGGUUCUACAACUUGAAAGGAAGUAUGCAAAAUUGGGGAAGGACAUACUGAAGAAGUUUGGGUGGUUAGAUCUUGAGAGGAAGGUUUAUUCUCGGGAGGACGGAAAACAUAUUUGUUUUCCUGUUACCAAAAAAUUUUGUGGUGUAUUUCAUGAAAGGCAGCAUCAUUUGUUUGAUGCAUCUGAAUUAGAUAAUGACCAUUUAUUGAAACCAUUUACAGGAAAGGGGCUUUUGUUAAACGAGAUCUCAAGUUUGGAAGCUUUGAAUCUUUUAAAAGAGUGUGGUGCAACUAAGCUGGUAGAUGAGGUAGUUGAAGUCAAAAGAGCUGCAAAGUCUCCCUUAAAAGUAAUGGGUGAAGCUGUGGCCUCGUUGAUAAAGAAUAGAGGCCUUUCAGAACAACUAUUAGAGGAACUACCCACAAGAUGGGAGCGACUUGGUGAUAUUGUUGUGCUUCCAGUCACAUCCUUCAAGGAUCCUGUAUGGGACUCAAUUGGGGCAGAGGUUUGGCCUGUUGUUGCCAAAUCACUUAAUACUAAUCGUCUUGCCCGCCAGGUGCGGAGGUUCAACCUGGAGGCUCAUUCUAGAACUUUUGCUGAAGUUGUACAAGGCUUUCAUGGAAGAACAGAGGAUAGAAAGAAGCCUAUGCAACCAGGAGUCUCAAUCAAGGGGAAGAUACCACAUAAAGGAGAGGAGAAGAUGGGGGAGAAUCUGAGAAUCACAGGUGCUAAAGUAAGGGAUUUUCCGGUGAAGUUAUCUAAUAAGAUGGAGGGGGUGGGAGGGGUUAGGAGGGAGAGCUGCAUUCUUGAGGAGGCAGAGGGUGGUGAGCAAACUUUGGCAGACCCUAGGAUCAGUGUCCCUAGCAGUAGUUUGAAUUCAAAAGUUUAUGACAAAAGGAAGAAGAGUGACGUUUGGAGUGCUGGCUGGUCAAGGAGAGGUCUUGUCGUGGAAGUUGAUGUGAUAGGAAGGAGGCGGGUUUUCUGGGAGAGAAAGAGAGGGGGUGGUACGAAGUGCAGAGUUGUUUCUCGAGCAGUUGGAAGGGAGAGUAUCAUGGAAGAUUCUAAUUCUCUUAAAUGGGUUCCUAAGAGCUUCAAACGGGCUGUUGUUAAGCCUUAUUUGGGCCUUGGAACAAGCCCAGAGCUGACUGACCUAGGAGUGGGUUUCCUUAAACCAGUGUUCUCUGGCCCAAGUACUUUUGAAGUGGGAGAGGGCUCGUUGGCUGGUGGUGGAGGCUCAGCCCAGGCCCCGUUGAAGGCUGUUCCUGAGAUUGGAGUUCCGGCCUGGCGCGCGAAGUAUUUGGUAGAUGGUUCCUCUCUCGCUGGUAGCUCUGGCGAGCUCGUCGUCGACUGUAGAUCUGGCGAGCCACCGUCGCCACCGGAGGCCGACGGUUCCUCUCUCGCCGGUAGCUCCGAUGAGCUCUCGUUGGAUCUGGGUAAGGCCGAUGGCCCUGGCGAUGCCGGAACCAGCUCCGACGAGCCGUCGUUCUCACCGGGAAAGUCUGACAAACUCUCCUCCGUUGGUACUAGCUCUGGUGAGCUCACGGUGUUUCCAGGUAAGGCAGAAAGGGCGAUUUCGAGGCCUUUGGUUGAGUGUUUCCUUUCUGGUUUGUUUCUGAGUUUUUUGAGGACUGGGCUUGUGGUUUUGGGGGAUCAAGAAGGGGAUGAUGGUGGCUUGGUCAGCCUCACGCCGAUUGCUGCCCUUGAACCUGAGCAUCCCAGGUUAGUGGAGUUACCCACAAAGACAUUGUGUGCUGUCCCUGGGGCGAGUGUUUUAGUGAAGGAAGAAUGGAAUCUUUCAGAUAAGGGUUUGGGUGGAGAGGAUAGCUUACCUGUCCCUCUGAUGUCUAUUACUCCCUCUGGGCUACACUUGUCAGCUGAACUGAAUUGUGGUAAUGAGGCAGUGGGGUGUGAAAAUAUAUUGGAUACUUCAAGAUGGGUGAAGAAUAGACUCCCUGGUUUCAGUAAACUGGUGGGGUUGCCUUUGAACCGUCAUGAGAAGCUAUGCAUCGCAUUGUUACAAAAGAUUGAGAAGGAGACGGAGACUGCUAAAGCGGUGAACAGGAAUGUUACUCUCUCUAGAAAAGCUGGUAUCUAUAAGGAUAAAGGGAAGAGAGAGCUGAGGAACCUGCAAUCUUCGGUUAAUUAUGACAGCAGGUAGUGUGUUGGCUGUUGAGCUAAUAUUCAGUUGGGAUAUUCUUGUAUUUAUGAAUUUAAAAAUUCUCUCUUUGAAUGUUAGGGGUCUGAAUGACCAUCAGAAACGUUCUAUUGUUAAAAAUUUACUGCGUGGUUGGAAGUGUGAUGUAAUUUGCCUUCAAGAAACUAAACUUACUGGCAUGGACAGACAGAUGGUGGGGAAUUUGUGGAGUUGCCCCUUUGUGGAUUGGGUGGCUUUGGACGCUGUCCAGACAGCCGGUGGGAUUCUGCUGAUGUGGGAUAGGAGGGUUUUAGAGAGGACGGAAGUUUUGGUGGGUUCUUUCUCUGUGUCUGUUCGGUGGCAAGGGGUGGGAGACGGUUUCAGUUGGGCUUGUUCGGGGGUUUAUGGCCCUAUUGAUAACAAUGCGAGGGGAUUAAUGUGGGAUGAGUUGGUUGGUGUUCAGCAAUACUGGAAUGUCCCUUGGUGUUGUAUUGGGGAUUUCAAUAUUGUCCGCUUCCCUAGUGAACGUUUGGGUAAUUUUCGUCUCACUCCGGCAAUGGAACUAUUUUCGGAAUUCGUCGAGGACCUUAAUUUGAUUGAUUUGCCCUUGGAGGGAAGGAGCUAUACAUGGUCUAGAGGGUCAGUUCGGCCUUCGAUGUCUAGGAUAGACAGAGUUUUGGUGUCUCAGGAUUGGGAGGAGCAUUAUCCGGACGUGAUCCAACGGAUUUUACCUCGCCUUGUUUUUGACCAUUUCCCUAUUUUAGUGGAGGUGGGGGGAAUGGCGAGGGGGAAAAGUCCGUUUAGGUUUGAGAAUAUGUGGCUCAAGACGGAAGGCUUUAUUGAUAGAGUUCAGUCUUAGUGGAAUCGUCAUUCUUUCUCUGGCACUCCUAGUUUUGUGUUUGCCAAAAAAUUGAAGGCCUUGAAAGAGGACAUCGUUCGGUGGAAUCGUUUGGAGUUUGGUCAUGUUGGUCGCAAAAAGUCUCAAUUAUUAGAGACUUUGAAUUCUCUAGAUGCCUAGGAAGGGGAGUUUGGUCUCUCUGAUGCAGAGUCUUGUGAGAGAGCGGUGGCGAGAUCUGAAGUUGAGAAUCUUCUCUCCUUGGAAGAAAUCUCUUGGAGAUAGAAAUCCAGGAUGUUAUGGAUUAAGGAAGGAGAUAACAACACUAAAUUCUUCCAUAGGAUGGCCAAUUCCCGGAGAAGGUUUAAUCACCUGAGUUUUUUGGAGGUGGAUGGGGUGAUCUAUGAGGAGGAAUCUGAGAUGGCUGCUCAGGUUGUACAUUUUUAUAAAAAUUUGUACCAGGAGUCAGAAGAGUGGAGGCCCUUUGUGGAAGGUCUGGAGUUUGAUCAGAUAGAUGGGUCGGAGAGGGGUUGGCUUGAAAGGAGGUUUGAGAAGGAGGAGAUUCUUCUAGCUCUUAAUGAGUUGGGGGGAGAUAAAGCUCCAGGUCCAGAUGGUUUCUUUAUGGCUUUUUUCCACCAUUGCUGGAGAGUGGUGGAAAGAGAUGUUCUAACAGUUUUUGAGGAGUUCUAUCAUCAUAGUAAGUUUGAGAAAUCUCUGAAUGCGACCUUUAUAGCUCUUAUUCCCAAGAAAAAUGAUGCUUCUAAUAUUCGAGACUUCAGGCCUAUCAGCUUGGUGGGGAGCUUGUACAAGAUUUUGUCGAAGGUUUUGGCAAAUAGGUUGAAACAGGUAUUAGAUCAACUGAUUUCUGAGUCUCAAAAUAGUUUUGUGGGAGGUAGACAGAUUCUUGACUCAGUUCUUAUUGCUAAUGAGUGUGUUGAUAGUCGUGUUAAGAGCAAGAUUCUGGGGGUUAUUUGUAAGCUUGACAUUGAGAAAGCUUAUGAUCAUGUGAAUUAGGAGGCUCUUCUAGAUCUUUUGAAGAGAAUGGGCUUUGGGGAAAAAUGGUGUAGAUGGAUUCGCACUUGUAUCUCUACUAUCCAGUUUUCUAUUUUGAUUAAUGGGGCGCCAGCUGAUUUUUUUGGGAGCACGAGGGGUUUAAGACAAGGGGACCCGCUAUCUCCAAUGCUGUUUUUGGUUAUGAUGGAGGUUUUAAGUAGGAUGUUGAAAAGAGUAGAAGGUGCUGGCUUGAUCAAGGGUUUCCAAGCUGUUGGUAGUCGGGGUGUAGGGGAAUGUGUCUCGCAUCUUCUGUUUGCGGACGAUACUAUUCUAUUCUGUGAUGCGGAUGUGGAGCAGAUCCUUCAUGUGCGGAUGCUUCUCCUUUGUUUCCAGGCUGUGACAGGUUUGAAGGUUAAUGUCUCGAAGAGCAAGCUGGUUCCUAUAAGGGAGGUUAAUAAUGUUCAUGCCUUGGCAGAGAUUCUGAGUUGUCGGAUUGGGUCUUUGCCUAUGACCUAUCUUGGUAUGCCGUUGGGGGCUUCCCAUAAGUCCCCUUCUAUUUGGAAUCCUAUCUUGGAGAAAUUUCAGAGGAAAUUGGCUGGGUGGAAGAAGUUGUAUUUAUCUAAAGGUGGUAGGUUGACGCUGCUUAAGAGUACGCUUUCUAGCCUUUCUACUUAUUAUUUAUCCCUUUUUACCAUUCCCUUGCAUGUGGCUAAUAAGAUUGAGAAGAUUCAGAGGGACUUCUUGUGGGGGGAUUCGAAGCUUCAUUUGGUGGGGUGGGAUAAGGUGUGUGCUCCUAAGGUUAAUGGUGGUUUGGGUAUAAGGAAGUUAACUACGUUUAAUAAAGCGUUACUAGGAAAAUGGCUAUGGCGGUUUGGGGUUGAGGUGACUCGUCUUUGGCGGAGGGUUAUAGCUUUGAAGUUUGGGGAAGAGUGGGGGGGUUGGUCGUCCAAAUUAGGCAGGGGUGUUCAUGGGUGUGGUUUAUGGAGAAGUAUCCGGAAAGGUUGGGAGGUGUUUAGCAAACACAUCCGAUUUGAGGUAGGGGCGGGGGAUAGGGUGAAGUUUUGGACGGAUCUAUGGUGUGGGGACUUACCUCUCCAUCUAUCCUUCCCGGUUGUGUAUGGGAUUGCUAUUAAUAAGGAGGCAUCUGUAGCCUCGUCUCUCAAGCGUCUGGGAACCGAGGCCCGGAGAAGUUGGAAGGUUCUCCUUCUUAGAAAUCCGAAUGAUUGGGAGUCGGGUGUUGUGGAUGAUUUCCUUCAUUCUCUGGGUUCUAAUUUACCUCCAUCUGAGCAAAGAGACCGUAUGAUUUGGAAACUGUCAAAGAAGGGGGUUUUUGAUGUUCGAUCGUUCUAUGAUAAGCUUCGAUGUCCCUUGCCUAUUCCUUGGAAAGGUGUUUGGAAGGUUAAGGCUCCUACGCACGUCUCCUUCUUUGUUUGGUCUGCAGCUUGGGAAAAGAUUCUUACAGGGGACAUUCUGCGGUGUAGAGGCUUUGAUUUUGUUGAUUGGUGCAUUUUGUGCCGCAGUAAUGGGGAGACGGCGAAUCACUUGCUUCUUCAUUGUGGAAAAGCUUUUCAGAUGUGGAGCCUGGUGUUUAGAUCUUUUGGGAUUUCUUGGGUCUUGUCAAGAUCAAUUGCAGAUACGCUUUUCGGCUGGUGGAACUGGCUCGGAAAGCACUCUUCUAGAGUUUGGAAUCUAGCUCCGUUGUGCCUAAUGUGGUGCAUUUGGAGGGAGCGAAACUGGCGUACUUUUGAGGACAGGGACAAAACUGAUGACCAACUGCUCGCUUACUUUAGUGGCUCUCUUUUUGAUUGGUCUAGGGCUUGGGGACUCACCUCUAGUAAUUCUAUCCCUAUGUUCCUUAGUUCUCUUCUUUGUAAUUAGUUCUUUGUUGGUUCCGCUUGUUUUCUUGUUUUCUCCUUUUCUUCUCCCUUUUUUGUUUCCUCCUCUGUACUCUCUGUUCUUCCUUUUGUUUUCUUGAGGUAUUUAAUAUAAUUUUCUUACUUAUCAAAAAAAAAAAUGUUAUGUUGCUCAUUGAUGACUACUUUUCUUCAUUUUGUUUCAGAAUACAUUCUUUGUGUUGAUUCUGUGAAAGUGUGUAGUCAAUUUUUUGGUUCAUUGAACCUCGGUUGUCAUUUUAAAGUAAAACUAAACUUAAUAUUUGAGGAUAUGGGCUUCUUUUAGGAUUGAAUUACAUGUGAUACAUACAUUGAAAGAUGAUAUAAAAGCACAUUGACUGUAACCAAAAUUUAAUUUUACUCUUCGAAUGAACAUAUUCUGUCCCAGAGUUCAGGCACAUCAUCAUCAAUUGAUUCAGAUAAUUUAUAUAGAUCCUUCCAACAUGGGAACAUUGUCAUGACAUGAUCCUAUUGUCUUUACUAUUAUUGUUAUUAUUAUUAUUAUUAUUAUUAUUGUUGUUGUUGUUGUUGUUGUUGUUGUUGUUGUUGUUGUUUCUAAAUUAUUCUCCAUAUUGUUUAUUAGUCAUAUUUUAAAACUAAUUAUGUAGUAUAUCCUGACCAACAGGCCACUAGCAAUGAUUGUCAUAUUUGUCUUUCCUGAAAGGUGUUGACAUUUUGUUUUCCUAGCAGGUGAUAUAUUAUAACACUAAUAGUUCAAACUGUAAGCUUUAAAACUACAUACCAUGUUCGAUCAGAAUGAGUUGCAGAAAUUCUCAUCUGAAUUUCACUAACUAGAAGGGCAGAGUUGCACCAACAGGAACAAGGGACAGUACUUUGGAGAUUCUAGUUGGAGAUAAUGGUUGGGUUGAUCAUCGCGAAAAUGGAAUUCUCUAUUCUUUUAAUGCUACUAAAUGUAUGUUCUCCU